GGAUUAGAAACCCCGGUAGUCCAUGCCGUAAACGUUGGGCGCUAGGUGUGGGGGUCCUUCCACGACCUCCGUGCCGCAGCUAACGCAUUAGGCGCCCCGCCUGGGGAGUACGGCCGCAAGGCUAAAACUCAAAGGAAUUGACGGGGGCCCGCACAAGCGGCGGAGCAUGCGGAUUAAUUCGAUGCAACGCGAAGAACCUUACCAAGGCUUGACAUGUAGAGGAAAGUUCCAGAGAUGGUUCCCCCGCAAGGUCUCUACACAGGUGGUGCAUGGUUGUCGUCAGCUCGUGUCGUGAGAUGUUGGGUUAAGUCCCGCAACGAGCGCAACCCUCGUCCUAUGUUGCCAGCACGUAAUGGGGGGGACUCAUUGGAGACUGCCGGGGUCAACUCGGAGG
This 394-nucleotide ribosomal RNA is filed under the name uncultured bacterium. RNAcentral describes it as "bacterial SSU rRNA". It matches the Rfam family "Bacterial small subunit ribosomal RNA", at positions 775 to 1169 of the family's 1533-position model. The record is from RNAcentral.